RNAcentral lists this long non-coding RNA (1061 nucleotides) under Salvia miltiorrhiza (redroot sage). RNAcentral's name for it is "long non-coding RNA (SMIL_LNC007211)". The record is from RNAcentral. Lineage: Eukaryota; Viridiplantae; Streptophyta; Magnoliopsida; Lamiales; Lamiaceae.
UGAUUUUGUGAGACACCCGAAAAUGACAAAUUUUUCAUAUUUUUGUGAGAUGGGGAGAGUAUAAUAUUAGUGAUAUAAGAGAAACAUAAAUUGAUUAAAAAAAUAACAUAUCAUCAGAUAUUAGGUUAAUCCGUACUUGAGAUAAAGUCUCGUAUAGUCAUUAGGUGAACAAAUAAAGCCAUUAAUAUUCUCAAACAAAAAACAAAACGCAAAAUAAAAUAAAUGAAUAAAUAAUCCCAUUAACAUUCACAAAUGACAAACAAAACACGGAAUAAAAUAUAACGCCAUUAAUAUUCUCAAAUAAAAAAGGAAUAAAUAAAGAAAAAAAACACGAAAUCAAUAAAGCCAUUAAUAUUAUCAAAUAAGAAACAAAACACGAAUUAAGGCCGUUAAUAAUCUAAAAAAACAAAACAUGAAAUAAAAUAAAAUUAAAUUAAAAAUAAAAUGACAUUGAUACUCUCAAAUAAAAAGCAAAUUAAACGUUGAAAUAAAAAAUAAAACAUGAAAUUAAAUUAAAAAAAUUAAAACCCCAUUAAUACUCUAAAAUAAAAAAGGAAAAAUUAACGCUAGAAGUUCUCAAAUAAAAAACAAAACAUGAAAUAAAAUAAAAAUAAAAUAAAAUGUCAUUAAUACUGUCAAAUAAAAAGCAAAAAUAAUUAAAUUAAUUAAAAAAUAAAACCCAUUAAUACUGUAAAAUAAAAAAGGAAAAAUUAAACGCUAGAAGGAGGUAAUAAAAAACAAACAUGAAAUAAAUAAAAAUAAAAUAAAAUGUCAUUAAUACUGUCAAAUAAAAAGACAAAAAUAAUUAAAUUAAUUAAAAAUAAAACACAUUAAUACUGUAAAUAAAAAGGAAAAAUUAAACGCUAGAAGGAGGGGUUGAACCUCCGACCUUGUGGUUAACAGCCACACGCUCUAACCAACUGAGCUAUUCCAGCUUAUUGUUAAUUAAUACUAAAUAAAUAUAUAUUGACAAUAUUAUUAGUCGUAUCUAAAUGGGAGAAAUAGCAAAUAGCCCCCUAUCAUACAACCCCUUAACACAUUUACCUUCCUAUCUCUUAAUU